This 400-nucleotide ribosomal RNA is filed under the name phytoplankton environmental sample. RNAcentral's name for it is "partial small subunit ribosomal RNA". It matches the Rfam family "Eukaryotic small subunit ribosomal RNA", at positions 587 to 994 of the family's 1831-position model. The record is from RNAcentral.
AGCUCUAAUAGCGUAUAUUAAUGUUGUUGCAGUUAAAAAGCUCGUAGUUGGAUUUUGGUGUUCGACAAAUGGUCUGCUUCGGUUUGUACUGUUUGUUGGCGCUUCUUUUCUGGGGAACUCACUGCUCUUAACUGAGGGGUGUUGUAACGCAGAUCGUUUACUUUGAAAAAAUUAGAGUGUUCAAAGCAGGCCAACGCAUUUUGAAUACAUUAGCAUGGAAUAAUGGAAUAGGACUUUGGUCUUAUUUUGUUGGUUUCUAAGGCCGAGGUAAUGAUUAAUAGGGAUAGUUGGGGGCGUUUAUAUUCCGUUGUCAGAGGUGAAAUUCUUGGAUUUACGGAAGAUAAACUACUGCGAAAGCAUUCGCCAAGGAUGUUUUCAUUAAUCAAGAACGAAAGUACGC